RNAcentral lists this long non-coding RNA (240 nucleotides) under Sorghum bicolor (sorghum). RNAcentral describes it as "long non-coding RNA (SBIC_LNC006988)". The record is from RNAcentral. Lineage: Eukaryota; Viridiplantae; Streptophyta; Magnoliopsida; Poales; Poaceae.
GUGGGAAUUUUUAUGAUAAUCAUUUACGUCUUAAAUAUAUCUUUUAAGGCCUUAUUCAGUCUAAGAAAAAAAUUUGUUUUUGGUAACUGUAGCAUUUUCCGUUUGUAUUUAAUAAAUUUUAUCCAAUCAUGGACUAACUAGGUUCAAAAGAUUUGUCUCGUAAAUUACAGGCAAACUAUAAAAUUAGAUUUUUGUUUUCAUCUAUGUUUAGUGCUUCAUGUAUGCGUCCAAAGAUUCGAU